GCGGCAUUGAUGUAACAGCAAUAUGCCUGUCUUCCAAACAGAGUAUGUCGGUGCAACUCCGACAUGCCGCACCA
Molecule: transfer RNA, 74 nt
Filed under: Verrucomicrobiaceae bacterium
Lineage: Bacteria; Pseudomonadati; Verrucomicrobiota; Verrucomicrobiia; Verrucomicrobiales; Verrucomicrobiaceae
Description: tRNA-Gly
Rfam family: tRNA
About the family: Transfer RNA (tRNA) molecules are approximately 80 nucleotides in length. Their secondary structure includes four short double-helical elements and three loops (D, anti-codon, and T loops).
Source: RNAcentral